Mustela lutreola (European mink) is the source of this 4316-nucleotide long non-coding RNA. RefSeq lists it as uncharacterized. The transcript is spliced from 2 exons. NCBI's taxonomy places the organism in Eukaryota, Metazoa, Chordata, Mammalia, Carnivora, Mustelidae. The record is from RefSeq and is a predicted model, not a curated record.
GCUUCUGUUACUGUACAUGACUUUUUUGUGUGUUGUUGUUUUUUUUUUUAACAGAUGUACUUUUGUUUAAAUUAUAAUUAUUGGGGUGCCUGGGUGGCUCAGUUGGGUGUCCCAAGUCUUGGGUUUGGCUCAGGUCAUGAUCUCAUGGGUUGUGGGUCAAGCCUUUCGUGGGGCUCCCUCCACACUCAGUGGAAGUGUGCCUGAGAUUCUCUCCCUCUGCUCCCCCCAUGUGUGCCUACUUUCUCUCUCUAAAUAAAUCUAUAAAAAAGAGAUACAUCGUCUUAGUUCUACACUGUUAGGCUUGUUAAAUGUUGAAGUUCCAAUAACUGACUACAUUCUUAAUUUUUUUUUUUUUUAGAACUUUAAUGGAAAAUUUCAAACAUAAAAGAACAGUGUGAUAAACCCCCAGGCUUCAUUCACAUUCAGGAAUUCCCACCUCAGGGCUUACACCAUUUCUUCAAUACCUUUCUUCUAACUCUUGAGGCAAAUUGUAGACAUCCUAUAGUUUAAUUAGUAAAUAUUUCAGUGUAUGUCUUUAAAGGAGAAGUAUUCCUUGUAAACAUAACCCUAGGGGCCCCUGGGUGGCUCAGUCAUUAAUCAUCCACCUUCAGCUCAGGCCAUGAUCCCGGAGUCCUGGGAUCAAGCCCCACAUACGGGGCCCCCUGCUUGACGGGAAGCUUGCUUCUCCCUCUCCUACUCCCCUUGCUGUGUUCCUGCUCUUGCUGCAUCUCUUUCUGUCAGAUCUUUAGGAUUUGAUUUGAUAAGAUUUGAUAAAAUCUUUAGGAAAAAACAACAACAACAGUGUAACCCCAGAAGUAUUAUUUUCGUGAUAUUUUGCACAUCCAUGGUUUUAUAGACAUGCCACGUUCUUAUCAAGAAUACUAGGUAGUGAGUAAAGGUUGGCAAGUGUCUUCAAUGUUUGUAGUAUGAUUCAUCUCAAGGAGGGUUGGAAACAGACUGGUCUGAACAGAAAGCCACAGAGAUUGCUUCUACCUUCUGCACAGAAGCGCAUUCUUCACCCCAUUCCCUUACUUCGAUGGACACAGCUCAGAGAGGCCGCCCUCAUUUAUUUUAUAAGCUCAUUAUCAGUCAACUUAGGAAACAAUGCUGUCUGAUUUGUAGGUCUUUGACCUGUUAACGUCAAUCCUGUGGCACAGGCUUUUAGCCCUUGGCGCUCUUUCUGGAAAAUUCCAGAACUAUAUAAAAGCCAUUUCUAAAAUCCCGAUAGACAUGUUUUGCCAAGAAUGUCAGUUAUCUCUUGACAGUUUGGCAUUAACCUUUAAAUAUUAGAUUGUGUAAUCAUAAUGCCAUUGAGGGAAAAUAAGGUGGUGGGUGGCUGGCAUUUUAAAAGUGAAACGAGCUUGGGUUCCCGUGAAUGUUAAUCAUUAUUAUACUGAAAAUGCUGAGAGUCCUGAAGAGUGAAAUGCUUAGUAAGUAAAAAGCAGUAUUUUGCGAAUAACUUAGAUCAUAGGUAAGUAAAACAUGGCUUCAUGGGUUUAUUUGACAUAUGUUUACCGGAACAGUAUCUGAGGGGUAUUUUCUGUGUUCGAGCUUUGUAACUGAGAGGCGAAUCAAGAAACCUUCUAGUGCGUUCCCGCCAGCCUACUAGCCUGACCAGCACGUCUCAGAAAUAGAUAAUUAUUUUUGUCAUUGUAACCUGCCUUCUCAUUUGCCUUCCUUGCCCUUGAGUUUGCAACAGAGGAGAAAGAAACCCGUGGCCUCUACCAUAAAUACACAUGGUUACAGCAGUCAAGUAAUUGCAUAUUUUUUGUGGGCAAGUCAUUCAUUCGUGGUGAUGAAAUGGCUUAUUUUUAAUGCAGUUUUCUUUCAACUAAACUUAAAUUCUUUGUUUCCAUUUGAUUCAGUGGUCUGUACCAUUCUAAGGCACUAUAAAUUUAGCACAGCUUCUUCAUUUUACCAACUUGGUAGGAGUUUUAAAGGUUUCAUUCAGUUCAGUUUUAGUUUUCAAACAAAAUGGACUAUAAGAAUUCUUCAAUUUACAGUAUAAUGUGUAAUUAAAGACAGACCCAGUAUAUCUGACAGGAGUGUUGUACCAGGGAUCGUGGGAAAGGGGAGGUUUGGAGCAUUACUUCUAAUCUCAUUUUAACAUGACUGUUGGGAAAGGAGAAUUUCUUUGGAAAGUAGAUAAAAGCAUAGACUGACUCUCGGAUCACAAAAUGGAAGAAACCCAGAUUUAUUGCAUACCUGUCAAGGAUAGAAAUAUCUUAAGUUUUCUGGAAAAGACAUCCAUGUGGAUAACUUAUAACUUUAAAUGAUUAAUUAAGAGUAAUUGCUGUCCACUAAUGCUAUUCAUAGCAGAUUGGUUCUAAUGAGGAAUGUUGCUUCUAUAGAUAUUUAGGUUAUAGAAUUAGUUUAUGACUUCUUUUGAUAAACUCUCUGAAUCCUCUACCUUACUCUGUUCUUUUCAUUUUCCUUGUGAAUUUAUUUGGUUUUGUUUAAUGACGGGGAUAUCUUUACCUGUAUUACUUUAUUCAGUUACCUAUUUCUGGAUAUCUCAAGUUGAGCAGAAACGUACAUUAGAGGAGCUGUGGGUAUGGAGCAGGCACCAGUAAACACUAGUGGAUAUAGUGGCAGCCUGUUGUAUAAAAUCGCUAAUAACCCAUUAAAUCAGUUCCUUUUAAUAAAUAUUUAAUUUCCAUUUUUAAAUGUCACAUAUUCCAGUAAACAUAUUUGCACAUUUCAGAUAUACUUUUGUCUUUCUAGUGAACAUUUUGUUAAACAGUAGCAUAUACAUGAAAAGUCCACAAAUCUUUGUAGCUCAGUGAUAAGUGGAACAAAUGUUUAAUCAGCACCGGAGAAGUCCCCCUUGAACCACUUGAAAUGAUUGCUGUCCCCACUAGAGUGACUACUAUCCUAAUUCCUAACACCAUUGAUUCAUUUAGCUUGUUUGAAAUGUGUAGCGAAGGAAUCACAUUGCAUGUGCUCUUUGGUACCUGGUUUCUUUCACUGUAAUAUCUGGGAGACUCAUACACUCAAAUGUUGGAAUUCAUUUUUUAUUGCUGUGCAGUAUUCUGCUGGGUGACAAUCAUAGUUUAUCUUUUUUAUUGACAAGCCUUUGGGUUGUAACCUAAAUUUUGGAUAUUCCAAAUCGUGCUGUGAGCAUUCUGAAACCUCUGUGUUGGUGGUCAUCGCUAUAUGGCUCUCUAGUGGGAGGAAUGCUCUUGGGCGUAGGGUGUAUGUAUGUGUACUUAACAUGCCCACAGUUUUCCAAAGUGGUUGAAACUGUAUCACGCUCCCACCAGCAGUGUCUGGUUAUUUUUUAAAAAAUAAACUUCAUAAAAGUGAAAUUUGAAUAAAAGAAUAAAUUUAUUUUGAGUUUUGGAACACAGUGCUAAAUUUAUCCUCAGGAAUGUGAAUUUAUACUCCACUGAACACUAGGUUUUCAUCAGCCCUUUCAUUUUUUUUCUUUCUUUUUUUUUUAGCCCUUUCAUUUUCAUAGUGAAAAAUGUCUAAUUUUUAAACUAAAGAGUUGAACUUUUUUAAAACUUAAUUUUGCUCAUUCAGUUUUCUUGGCUGUCCUGGUCUUUCUCUGUCAAGGGGUUUCUAAUUUUUCUUUUUUUCUUUUCCUUCUUUUUCUUCUCCCAAGGGGGCAGGGGGAGGAGCAAAGCAGGGAGAGAAAGAGAACCAGGGAGAAGGGCAGGCGAGAAUUCUACCACUGAACCACCCAUGCAAGAACCAGGGAGAAGGGGAAGAGAAAGAGAGAGAGAGAGAUAGAGAGUCUUAAACAGGCUCCGUGCCCAGACUCUGAGCCCGUGGGCUCCAUCUCAAAAUCCUGAGAUCAUGACCUGCGCUGUGAUCAGGAGUCAGACACUUAACUGACUGAACCACCCAGGUGCCCCUUUAAUUUUGCUUACUGCUUUGUAAUAACCUUUUAUAUUGUAAUCUACAUUUUUUGGUCAUAUGCUAUAAUUUUUUUCUUCCUAGUUUUAAUCUUGUCAUUUACAAUAUAAAAGUUUUAAAUGUUCGUGUGUGCUUAUAUCUGCUCAUCUUUUCCUCUCUGGUUUCUGACUUUGGUGUUACUCUUAGGGAAGUCUUUUCACCCCAAGAUGAUUUUCUAAAAAGUCUGUUUUCUUCAAGGGUUUUAUUGUUUAUAUUUAAUUUUGUCUAUUGUAACUAGAUUUAACUUGUAACUCAAGGUGCUUUUUGUUUGUUUUAAAACAAAUUUUAACCGGUUAAUACUUUGGAAUAUUUUGCCAUGUCAGAGGGUGACUGGUCCAGAAGAGUUUUGUACACCAAUGCAUGCAUGUUUGUGUCAUUUGACCAAGUGAGAAAUAAAGUGUAUUUUCCAGGGCGGA